CCUGCCUCAUACAGGGGAAUAACAACCGGAAACGGUUGCUAAAACCGCAUAAUAUGCUAACAUCGCAUGAUGACUGCAUUAAAUAUUUAUAGGUAUGAGAUGGGCCCGCGUCUGAUUAGCUAGUUGGUGAGAUAAAAGCUCACCAAGGCGACGAUCAGUAGCCGGCUUGAGAGAGUGACCGGCCACAUUGGGACUGAGACACGGCCCAAACUCCUACGGGAGGCAGCAGUGGGGAAUAUUGCACAAUGGGGGAGACCCUGAUGCAGCGACGCCGCGUGAGUGAAGAAGUAUUUCGGUAUGUAAAGCUCUAUCAGCAGGGAAGAAAAUGACGGUACCUGACUAAGAAGCCCCGGCUAACUACGUGCCAGCAGCCGCGGUAAUACGUAGGGGGCAAGCGUUAUCCGGAUUUACUGGGUGUAAAGGGAGCGUAGGUGGCGAGUCAAGUCAGAUGUGAAAGCCCGGGGCUCAACCCCGGGAUUGCAUUUGAAACUGGUUUGCUAAAGUGCAGGAGAGGUAAGUGGAAUUCCUAGUGUACCGGUGAAAUGCGUAAAUAUUAGGAGGAACACCAGUGGCGAAGGCGGCUUACUG
This 588-nucleotide ribosomal RNA is filed under the name uncultured bacterium. RNAcentral describes it as "bacterial SSU rRNA". It matches the Rfam family "Bacterial small subunit ribosomal RNA", at positions 125 to 731 of the family's 1533-position model. The record is from RNAcentral.